CUUGACACGCUUGUUCUUGUCUGGUCUGAGAAACUAAGCCGGGUUAGGGCUCGGAUGGAAGACCACCUGGGACUACCAGGUCUUUUAAGU
This 90-nucleotide ribosomal RNA is filed under the name Oryzias latipes (Japanese medaka). Lineage: Eukaryota; Metazoa; Chordata; Actinopteri; Beloniformes; Adrianichthyidae. The record is from RNAcentral.